This is a long non-coding RNA of Homalodisca vitripennis (glassy-winged sharpshooter), 683 nucleotides long. RefSeq lists it as uncharacterized. The record is from RefSeq and is a predicted model, not a curated record. NCBI's taxonomy places the organism in Eukaryota, Metazoa, Arthropoda, Insecta, Hemiptera, Cicadellidae. The transcript is spliced from 3 exons.
UAACUUUAACAUUCUCCAGUCUCCUCCAUUUUAGAACGAAAUAGCUCUUGAUGGUUCUUCUUUCCUUUCAUAGUGGAAAGUCUGGAAGUCGUCUAGGAAGAUAUCUCGUAUCUUCUUGUUUCUUGAAGUUUUAGAGAUAAUAGAAUACUAGACAUUACAGUCAAAUAUCUGCAGAGCUACAUAUGAAAUAUCACAGGGUGCAGUUAUCAGAGGGAUUCUGUAAUUACAUAUUAUCAUCAAGUUAGGAUACACUUUGUGCAAAGUGCUCAUGGACGCUAAUGUCUGGAGAGUGGCCCAAUCUGUUAUCUUCAAGGUUUUAAUUCUGAAUUUGUCUUUCAGCAUAUUUUAUAUGAUCAAUUAAAAAAAAUUACGGGUGCUAUGCUCAAUAAUAUGUUAAAUAUAUGCAAUUACACUUUACCUCCACCAAUUCUACAACUUUGGUGCAGAGACAGCAUGUUACAGAGCUGCAGAACUGAAUAGUGCAUUCCUUUUCAAGAAGUGUCAAUUAAUGGAUCAGGUAGACCAUGUCAGCCUUGUGGCGGGUAUUGUACUGAUGAUUAAAAAGGCUUGCACCUCUGGCGUGAAAUUGGUGAAUUGCAGACAUGUUUUUGAGCAGAUGAAUGCACAAAAUUUGCCAUAUAUGAAUGAUGAACUUGAAUACUUGGAAAAUCAUCUGUCAAGUU